Molecule: ribosomal RNA, 494 nt
Filed under: uncultured bacterium
Lineage: Bacteria
Description: bacterial SSU rRNA
Rfam family: Bacterial small subunit ribosomal RNA
Source: RNAcentral
GACGAACGCUGGCGGCGCGCUUAACACAUGCAAGUCGUGCGGUGUCGAAGGCAAGUCUUACGACAAGCCUUCGACACAGCGGCGAACGGGUGAGUAACACGUGAGUAGCUGUCCUAAGGAGGGGGAUAACGCCUGGAAACGGGUGCUAACACCCCAUAUGCCUCGCAAGAGGUGAAAGUGUACUUGCUACAGCCUUAGGGUGUGCUCGCGGCCUAUCAGCUAGUUGGUGAGGUAACGGCUCACCAAGGCCAAGACGGGUAGCCGGCCUGAGAGGGUGUACGGCCACACUGGAAUUGAGAUACGGUCCAGACUCCUACGGGAGGCAGCAGUGGGGAAUCUUGGGCAAUGGGCGAAAGCCUGACCCAGCGACGCCGCGUUGGGGAUGAAGCCCUUCGGGGCGUAAACCCAUGUUGUAGGGGACGAAGAAAGUGACGGUACCCUACGAGAAAGCCCCGGCCAACUACGUGCCAGCAGCCGCGGUAAGAUAGCGUACU